GAGUUUGAUCCUGGCUCAGCCUGAACGCUGGCAGCGUGGUUAAGACAUGCAAGUCGCACGGGCGUAGCAAUACGUCAGUGGCGGACGGGUGAGUAAUGUAUCGCUAACGUACCCCGAGCUCUGGGAUAGCCAUCCGAAAGGAUGGGUAAUACCAGAUGAGACCCCGGCAUCGCAUGAUGCUGAGCUCAAAGCUCCGGCGGCUCGGGAGCGGGCGAUAUCGUAUCAGCUAGUUGGUGAGGUAACGGCUCACCAAGGCGACGACGCGUAACCGGACUGAGAGGUCGGCCGGUCACAUCGGGACUGAGACACUGCCCGGACUCCUACGGGGGGCUGCAGUAACGAAUCUUCGUCAAUGCACGAAAGUGUGAACGAGCGACGCUGCGUGGAGGAUGAAGUCCUUCGGGAUGUAAACUCCUGUCAGGGGCUACCAAGUUCUGAGGAGCCCCAGAGGAAGAGGCGGCUAACUCUGUGCCAGCAGCCGCGGUAAGACAGAGGCCUCAAGCGUUAGGCGGAAUCACUGGGCUUAAAGCGUGUGGUAGGUGGAUUGGCAAGUGCCUUGUGAAAUCCCACGGCUCAACCGUGGAACUGCUGGGCAUACUGCUGAUCUUGAGCCAUCUAGGGGCAGCUGGAACAACGGUGGAGCGGUGAAAUGCGUAGAUAUCGUUUGGAACGCCUAAGGCGAAAGCAGGCUGCUGGGGGAUGUGCUGACACUGAGACACGAAAGCCAGGGGGAGCAAACGGGAUUAGAUACCCCGGGUAGUCCUGGCCCUAAACGAUGUCCACUAGAUCGUAGCGUCUCUGACGGCGUUACGGUCGAAGCAAAAGUGCUAAGUGGACCGCCUGGGAAGUACGGUCGCAAGGCUAAAACUCAAAGGAAUUGACGGGGGCUCACACCAAGCGGUGGAGCAUGUGGUUCAAUUCGAAGCAACGCGCAGAACCUUACCUGGGCUUGACAUGCCUGGAUUAUCCCUGUGAAAGCAGGGUACGCCCGCAAGGGUGGAACAGGCACAGGUGCUGCAUGGCUGUCGUCAGCUCGUGUCGUGAGAUGUCGGGUUAAGUCCCAUAACGAGCGAAACCUUUGCCCUUAGUUACCAGCGGGUUAUGCCGGGGACUCUAAGGGGACUGCCGGUGUCAAACCGGAGGAAGGUGGAGAUGACGUCAAGUCCUCAUGGCCUUUAUGCCCAGGGCCACACACGUGCUACAAUGGCGUCGACAAAGCGAACCUAGAGCGCAAGCUGGAGGAAAUCGCAAAAAUGACGCCCCAGUUCAGAUCGGAGGCUGCAACUCGCCUCCGUGAAGUUGGAAUCGCUAGUAAUCGCGGAUCAGCUACGCCGCGGUGAAUGUGUUCCUGAGCCUUGUACACACCGCCCGUCAAGUCAUGGGAGCCGGAAAUAGCCGAANCAGCCUCGAUACAGAGGUUCCUACGCUAGGUUCGGUGACUGGGACUAAGUCGUAANAAGGUAACC
This 1466-nucleotide ribosomal RNA is filed under the name uncultured bacterium. RNAcentral's name for it is "16S ribosomal RNA". It matches the Rfam family "Bacterial small subunit ribosomal RNA". The record is from RNAcentral.